This is a small nuclear RNA of Nycticebus coucang (slow loris), 121 nucleotides long. RefSeq annotates it as U4atac minor spliceosomal RNA. NCBI's taxonomy places the organism in Eukaryota, Metazoa, Chordata, Mammalia, Primates, Lorisidae. The transcript has a single exon. The record is from RefSeq and is a predicted model, not a curated record.
ACCAUCCUUUUCUUGGGAUUGCAGUACUGUCCAAUGAGCUUGUAGUAAGGGCUUCUAACAACUACACAGCACACCCCCAUCAACUAUAGCUUUGCUUUACUUUGGUGCAACUUUUAGAAAG